Molecule: long non-coding RNA, 647 nt
Filed under: Phoenix dactylifera (date palm)
Lineage: Eukaryota; Viridiplantae; Streptophyta; Magnoliopsida; Arecales; Arecaceae
Description: long non-coding RNA (PDAC_LNC000265)
Source: RNAcentral
AGGUGUAGGUUGCUCCACAGCUCUCUGCAGGCCAGUAUUCCAACCACAUAGUAUCAUGGUCAGUGGGGCUCACAUUGAUUGUUAUAAGUUGUACUGUCAAUUUGCUUAUGAUUUCACAACAAUUAUACAGGGUCCACCUUAAGGAUGGUGAUUUCAGGACCACUCCUUUAUUACACUUGGACCAGGUGAAAUUUAUUCAAGACUUUCCAAAUACUAUCUGCUUUUCUGAUACUUGGGUCAUAUAUCUUAGAGGCCAUUUAAUGCUUUUCUAACAUGAGAUUUGAUGUGGGAAUGUAACUUUGCACAUGUCAGGUUAGCCUCAGAUAGUGAAUGUUCUAUCAUUAUAGCAACCGUCAUAAUGAUUCUGAAAACCUUUGAAAUGGCACUAUAUAAUGGCCAUAGUAUUUUUCGGUUAGCACUGCACCAUUUAAAUUUAAUGUCAGGUACAUAAACAACUAUUUUGUAAUCAAAUAUAUGAUAUUGUUAUUUGUAUAUGACAUGAUUGUUUCUAGAGAUGUCAUAAAAAAUUAUAAUAUAUAUUUUUUUGUCAUAAGUUGUUAUAUGGAUAAUUCCAUGAAAUCAGAGUAGCACCAAUUUUCAAAUUCUCUUAGCUAAAUAACAUUCAUAAUAAAACAAUAAAAGCACCC